RNAcentral lists this non-coding RNA (23 nucleotides) under Arabidopsis thaliana (thale cress). Lineage: Eukaryota; Viridiplantae; Streptophyta; Magnoliopsida; Brassicales; Brassicaceae. The record is from RNAcentral.
UCCAUAUUCUUUGGUUGGUCAUA